Molecule: long non-coding RNA, 3168 nt
Filed under: Sus scrofa (pig)
Lineage: Eukaryota; Metazoa; Chordata; Mammalia; Artiodactyla; Suidae
Description: lncRNA (ENSSSCG00040052230.1)
Source: RNAcentral
CUUUUUAGGGCUGCACCUGCAGCAUAUGGAGGGUCCCAGGCUAGGGAUCCAAUCAGAGCUGUAGCCGCCGGUCUACGCCAGAGCCACAGCAACAUGGGAUCUGAGCUACGUUUUUGACCUACACCACAGUUCACGGCAACUCCAGAUCCUGAACCCAAUGAGAGAGGCCAGGGAUCAAACCCGCAUCCUCCAUCUCGAGGGGGCAGGGCCCUGCCUGGUCCCCAAGCUUAGCAGGGUUGGGCCACAGGUCAGUCACCAGCAGGUGUCUGCUAGUCAGACCCUGAAUGGAUGAAGGGUGGGUAAACUGCACGUCUGAAUGUCUGCGGUCAUGGAGAAGGAGGCAGCGUCUUAAGAGCAAAACAGCAGAAACUCAGAGACCACGAGAGGUCUGCGGAACACCUAACUGAUGGUGACACACGCCACUCGGCCAAACCACCUGACCCGGGUCCGGCCAACAGUCUGCGGCUGGAGCUCCCUGUUCAAGCCCUGGCGGGGGGGGGGGGGGGGGCCCUGCACAGCGGCUGGAAACCUCCUCAGGCUUCCAGGCCAGUAGAGACCACGCGUGGAUCCUCGGAACGCUGACCACGGCAUGAACACAACCUGAGGGGGGAUGGUUCCCCUUCCGAAGCCGGAGUGGGGUAGAGAGAGGAAGACCGACGGCAGCGCACCGGCCACGAGGGUAGAGGAGGGGAGGCGGGCCGAGCUGAGACCCGUUUCUCUCGUGUCUCACGCUUCCCUGGGAGGUGCUGAGCGCAGCCGCUGCCCCCCACCCCCGGAAGAGAGGGCGGAUUUCGAGAAAGAAUGAACCACUUUCACAACAGGAGACGUCUCCUGAACACCCUCCACAUCUCCCACCUGGGAGCAGAACUGUUUUCAAGCAAGGGUCCCUUUGACCCUCUGCAUUACUGCCUAGAGAGGAACUGCAGGUGCGGAGGCAGUGAUGAAGCACUGCCUGUCACUAGGGGGUGGGGGGACACUCCUGGACGGUCCUUCCAGGAGGCGGUGGCAGGCUCUUCCUCUCUACUACAGGGUGGAAUGGCUCCAGUGGCGCUCUUCAUCAGCCCCACAGCCCCCUCUGCUCCCCCCAUGGAGACACAAUCCUCUUCAUCGACAGCGUUCCCGGCACAGGAGGGUGCAUGUGUGUUAAGACAGCCCCUCCCACAACAAAGGCAAGGAUGUUGAUCACAGUGGACUAGCCUCUGUCCAGGAUGUUUUGUCUUCAUGAUUUAAAAGCUCUUUCCAUGGAUUCCCUGGUGGCUCAAUGGGUUAAGGACCCAGUGUUGUCACUGCUGCAUCUCUGAUCGCUGCUAUGGUCCAGUUCCCUGGCCUGGGAACUCCUGCAUGCUGUGGGCACAGCCUAAAUCAAUCAAUCAAUCAAACAAUCCAUCAACCAAGCUCUUUCCUAAUCAGAGGCCAUCAUCAGCUCCACCAAAGCCUCAGGGGCCCUUGGGCUCACAAGAGUGAUUCACGGGGCCAUAUUUAUUACCCAUUCACAAACCCUUUAGGGGACACUUUUGUGGCCUCUCAGUCUUAUGAUGCUCUCCCCUCUAAAAGAAUCUCACCUCUAUUGAGCUGGACAUCUAUAAUAAGAACCAACCCUACUAUAGAUAUAUUUAAGGGAGAUUAUUUCAUCCUCUCUCUAAAUAACACACAUCAUAUGAAAGAUCUUUAUUACAGCAUCUAUCUCACUCUUAACCUAUUUUUCCAUCAAUGGACCAAUGUGCCAAGCACUAUUCUAAAUGCUCUGCACAUUUUAACAUUUAAUUCUCAACAGCCAUGAUUUGGGUACUACUAUCACCUAUAUUUUCAGACUAAGACUCUCUGAGGCUCAGAGAAGUUAAGCAACUUGCCUCAGGCCACACAGCUAGGAAGUGUCAGAGAUGGUGUCCAUAUCCAGGCAUUCUGGUUUCACAGCCAAUAAACAGUCACCCACUGCAUCCCCCUGAAUUUCUGAAAACAGAUCUUGUACGCCAUGUGGUUUCACUGGGCAUAGAGACCACCCGGGCACCAUCCACUGAGCAACGUCUUCCUAUACUGCUGUGGUUUAGUGUCAUGUCUUUAGAAAAAGCGAGCAAGAGUGUGGCUGAAGGGGGCGGCAGUCCAUUCCAACAGGGACGCCAUUCCCAUCAGCGGGAAGGAUGCUCACUUGUCCCAGUGCUUCGUCCUGAAGGAUGUGAAGGGCACCUCUGAUUAGACUUCACAGGGUCUUUGCCUUGGAUUCCGGUCAUGGAGCCCAACACCCAUGCAAGGCUGACGUUCUCGCAGGCUCACCAGCUUCUGCAGGCGAAGCCAUGAUGGCGCCUGCUGUGAUGUAACAAACACAGCGGGGAAGACAAUUCCCCGAGAGCGCCUGGAACACCAUGGGCGGCCAGUGAAUGGAGUUGAAUGAAUGAACGAGUGAAAAAAGGAGAAGGCGGCACCACCAAACUGGGGGGUGGGGGUGGCUGGGGGUCCUUGCCUUCCAAGGACUGAAUGGACCCACACCUGCUCUCUGUGGGUGCCCGGGGGCUCCUGACAACUGGGGGAUCUGGGCUCAGGGGUUAGAGUUUGGUUACGACCCAGAGUUUAUGUCGACGGGGUCAGAGGAGCUCCCAAGUAGAAUUUGCCUUCAAACCGCACACUCCGCCUCCCCCCACAAAAAAAGAUGCUUCAGUUUUCACAAAGCAGUUAUAACUAUAGGGUCGAAUUCCCAAUAGCCAGACAGUGGAAGCAACCCAAACGUCUGUCCACAGAUGAAUAAACAGAAUGUGGUGCAUGAGCCCAGCGGGAUAAUAUGCAGGCUUACGAAGGAUGAAUCUUACACGGGAUGGGAAAGGAUGCUGAGAGGUUACCUCAUCUAUCUCUGCCUUCAGGCAAGCUCAGCAAAGCCCUACAAGAAAGAUGAGCCUUGUUCUGCUUGCUAAGGAAGGAGAGGGCAUCGGAGGUGAAUUCUUAACACUCCUUGUCAGGCAAUCCUCCUCACAAUCCAUCUUCAAGCCUGUGAGCUGGUCAUGAUUGUUACAGCAGCAUUUUAGCUGCUGGGUUUUAUUAUUAUGGGAUUAACUGAGAUUGCUGUGUGUGCCCCCAGAGGCUUUUUAAAACAACUGUUUUAAAAAUUGAAAGCACCGUCAGGGAGUGGAGCUAAUAAAACGUGCUUGGUGGGAGCAUCCUAUUUAGCAAAAUUUCCUA